CGACCGCUGGCGGCGUGCUUACCACAUGCAAGUCGAACGAAAAGGCCCUGCUUUUGUGGGGUGCUCGAGUGGCGAACGGGUGAGUAACACGUGAGUAACCUGCCCUUGACUUUGGGAUAACUUCAGGAAACUGGGGCUAAUACCGGAUAGGAGCUCCUGCUGCAUGGUGGGGGUUGGAAAGUUUCGGCGGUUGGGGAUGGACUCGCGGCUUAUCAGCUUGUUGGUGGGGUAGUGGCUUACCAAGGCUUUGACGGGUAGCCGGCCUGAGAGGGUGACCGGCCACAUUGGGACUGAGAUACGGCCCAGACUCCUACGGGAGGCAGCAGUGGGGAAUAUUGCACAAUGGGCGGAAGCCUGAUGCAGCAACGCCGCGUGCGGGAUGACGGCCUUCGGGUUGUAAACCGCUUUCGCCUGUGACGAAGCGUGAGUGACGGUAAUGGGUAAAGAAGCACCGGCUAACUACGUG
This 466-nucleotide ribosomal RNA is filed under the name uncultured bacterium. RNAcentral's name for it is "partial 16S ribosomal RNA". It matches the Rfam family "Bacterial small subunit ribosomal RNA", at positions 30 to 507 of the family's 1533-position model. The record is from RNAcentral.